AAAUGCGAUAAGUAAUGUGAAUUGCAGAAUUCAGUGAAUCAUCGAAUCUUUGAACGCACCUUGCGCUCCUUGGUAUUCCUUGGAGCAUGCCUGUUUGAGUAUCAUGAAAUCUUCAAAGUAAAUCUUUUGUUAACUCAAUUGGUUUCUACUUUGGUAUUGGAGGUCUUUGCAGCUUCACACCUGCUCCUCUUUGUUCAUUAGCUGGAUCUCAGUGUUAUGCUUGGUUCCACUCGGCGUGAUAAGUUAUCUAUCGCUGAGGACACUGUAAAAGGUGGCCAAGGUAAAUGCAGAUGAACCGCUUCUAAUAGUCCAUUGACUUGGACAAUACUUUCAUGAUCUGAUCUCAAAUCAGGUAGGACUACCCGCUGAACUUAAGC
RNAcentral lists this unclassified non-coding RNA (377 nucleotides) under plant metagenome. RNAcentral describes it as "partial contains 5.8S ribosomal RNA, internal transcribed spacer 2, and large subunit ribosomal RNA". The stretch from base 1 to 104 matches the Rfam family "5.8S ribosomal RNA", at positions 51 to 154 of the family's 154-position model. The record is from RNAcentral.